This 414-nucleotide ribosomal RNA is filed under the name Sparianthina selenopoides. RNAcentral's name for it is "partial 16S ribosomal RNA". The record is from RNAcentral. Lineage: Eukaryota; Metazoa; Arthropoda; Arachnida; Araneae; Sparassidae.
CAUAUUUAAUGGAAAUAAUCAUUAAUGAAAUCUGCUCAAUGAAUAUAAAUAGCCGCAGAUAAACUGUGCUAAGGUAGCAUAAUCACUCGCCUUUUAAUUUAAGACUAGAAUGAAUGAUCAAACAUUUAAAUUAUUAUUUUAACUUUAUUUAUAAAAUUCAUCUAAAUAUAAAAAAGUAUUUAUACUAAAGAAAGACGACAAGACCCUAUUGAACUUUACUUUAGUUUAACUGGGGUAGUUAAUUAACUAAAUUUUAAUUAUUAUUACUAAAAGACCUAAUAAUAUUAAUCAAUUAAUUAAGUUACCAUAGGGAUAACAGCAUAAUUUAUUUAUAUAGCUCUUAUACAUAAAUAAGAUUAUGACCUCGAUGUUGAAUUAAUAUUCUUUUAGAUGCAAUAACCUAACAAAGAAAGU